CCUACGGGUGGCUGCAGUGAGGAAUAUUGGUCAAUGGCCGAGAGGCUGAACCAGCCAAGUCGCGUGAGGGAUGACGGCCCUACGGGUUGUAAACCUCUUUUGUCGGGGAGCAAAGCGCACCACGUGUGGUUCAUUGAGAGUACCCGAAGAAAAAGCCUCGGCCAACUCCGUGCCAGCAGCCGCGGUAAUACGGAGGAUGCGAGCGUUAUCCGGAUUUAUUGGGUUAAACGGGUGCGCAGGCGGAGGUGCAAGUCAGCGGUCAAAUUGCGGGGCUCAACCCCGUACUGCCGUUGAAACUGCAUGCCUUGAGUGCGCGAGAAGUAUGCGGAAUGCGUGGUGUAGCGGUGAAAUGCAUAGAUAUCACGCAGAACUCCGAUUGCGAAGGCAGCAUACCGGCGCGCAACUGACGCUCAUGCACGAAAGCGUGGGUAGCGAACAGGAUUAGAUACCCGAGUAGUC
Molecule: ribosomal RNA, 459 nt
Filed under: uncultured bacterium
Lineage: Bacteria
Description: partial 16S ribosomal RNA
Rfam family: Bacterial small subunit ribosomal RNA
Source: RNAcentral